Molecule: ribosomal RNA, 465 nt
Filed under: uncultured bacterium
Lineage: Bacteria
Description: partial 16S ribosomal RNA
Rfam family: Bacterial small subunit ribosomal RNA
Source: RNAcentral
GACGAACGCUGGCGGCGUGCUUAACACAUGCAAGUCGAACGGAAAGGCCCUGCUUGCAGGGUACUCGAGUGGCGAACGGGUGAGUAACACGUGGGUGAUCUGCCCUGCACUUCGGGAUAAGCCUGGGAAACUGGGUCUAAUACCGGAUAGGAGCCAUUUUUAGUGUGAUGGUUGGAAAGUUUUUUCGGUGUAGGAUGAGCUGGCGGCCUAUCAGCUUGUUGGUGGGGUAAUGGCCUACCAAGGCGGCGACGGGUAGCCGGCCUGAGAGGGUGGACGGCCACACUGGGACUGAGAUACGGCACAGACUCCUACGGGAGGCAGCAGUGGGGAAUAUUGCACAAUGGGCGCAAGCCUGAUGCAGCGACGCCGCGUGGGGGAUGACGGCCUUCGGGUUGUAAACUCCUUUCGCUAGGGACGAAGCUUUUUGUGACGGUACCUAGAUAAGAAGCACCGGCUAACUACGUG